GCCGACGUGGUGGAAUUGGUAGACACACUAGCUUGAGGGGCUAGCGCCGCAAGGCGUGUCGGUUCGAGUCCGACCGUCGGCACCA
Molecule: transfer RNA, 85 nt
Filed under: Gammaproteobacteria bacterium
Lineage: Bacteria; Pseudomonadati; Pseudomonadota; Gammaproteobacteria
Also listed under: 2 other names
Description: tRNA-Leu
Rfam family: tRNA
About the family: Transfer RNA (tRNA) molecules are approximately 80 nucleotides in length.
Source: RNAcentral